Molecule: non-coding RNA, 9912 nt
Organism: Meleagris gallopavo (turkey)
Lineage: Eukaryota; Metazoa; Chordata; Aves; Galliformes; Phasianidae
Source: RefSeq, a predicted model, not a curated record
GCGGGCGGCGGGCGGGGGAGGCGGUGCCGCCCUUUCUCUGCCGUCGGGGCGGACUGCCGGCCUCAAGGCCCCGCUGGAGCUGGGCGCGGAGCGGUCACCGGGCUUCUGCGGGGCGGGAGGAAGAGGGAACGGCUUCUCGGCCGGCUCCAACCCCUGCCCUACUUUUGCAGCUGAAAUCCUCGUUCUCUCUCACGAAUUUGUCUGUACGUGCACGCAGUGGCAAAGAGUAUUUCAGCUCUUGAGGGAGACAGGCCUAUAAAUCGUGGUGUGGCUUCAUCAGAAUUCAGUUAGAAUUUGACUAUGGGAGCGCGGUUCCUGCUGAAGACGUCUGUCUGGUUAAAGAAACACAAGAUCACUUUGUUGGCUACUUCUUGCGUGGGACUGUUUGGUGCUAACCUUUCCUAUCAUGUAUUUCCUGAGCAGACAUUCAAACUGUUGCACGAGUGCUGGUCAGGUGGGCAGCCAGCUGAACUUUCUCAGAGGCUCUGUGCUGUCUUUCAGGAUGUCCUUCAAGAUACUGCAGUGAAGUCCACCAACUACCAAGCCUUUGCGGCUUCUGGCUUCCACCCGGUCAGUGCUGGAAUCCCCUGGCUGCCUGCGGGUUCUUUGGUGGGCAUCCCUCCUAAUUUUGAUAGCACAAUUGAGGAUAAAAGAGGAAUAGUCAACCACGUUGUUGUGAUUGGUGGCAAGGAAGUAGACUGGGAAAGUAAUGAAGGUGUUGCUUUGAAGGAAGCUCUGACAUUUUCACUUGAUGCACAGAAGUUUGCACUUGCCAGAGAAGUUGUGUAUUUGCAGAAUGGCAGCCCUUUAGCGAGUGCAGCUGUGGCUCCAAUGUGCUUAGCUGGUACGUGUCUCUGUGGGACAGGUAUGAAGAUAGCUCUGGGUCUGUAUUCUGGCCCCAGGAUACUUCGCAGCAUCUGUAACUUCAUAAUUGCUGCCGCUGGACUAAUCCUCUAUUACAUUUCUUAUGAUGCUAUGACCUAUCACCUGGACUGCAAGGCUGACAGAAAUGCAGCUACCGUAUCCAAAGACUAUGCCAAAGGUGGGGUGGAAUUUUAUGACAAAAUCCUGUCCCGCAACAGGACUCUUCGUGCUCUGAUGGGCAAAGAAGGGACAAAAAUAUAUGCCCCAAGUGGUAACCUUUUCCCAAGGCACUGGUUCAGAUUAAAGUAUACCCCAUACACUUACCGAAAAGAUUUAAUUGUUAAUAUUUUAAAAGAGCUCCAGGCAUAGGAAGGGAGUGCUUGAAUUUUAAACUUGUAAAUUAUGUAUUCUCUUUGGAACACUGCUGUGCUGCUUUUUUUUUUUUUCUCUGCAUCUUCAUUAGAAUUUUGGGGUUUAUUUUUGCAUAUAGUUUGGAAGGAGUUAUUGCACAUUCCGUGAAUAAAGAAUUCUCUCUUAAAAUAUUAAAGAGUUGCUUCAAAAGUGCUCCACUCUGUGUGCAUCUUAAAUCACAAGACCACUGAGGAAGGGAGCUGCUCAGAUGCUUAUCUGGAACUUGUGCAGUUCUGCUGCCCCUUACUGCCAGUUCCAGACUGGAAAAUGGAAAGGGUAAAGUCAAACAGAGUUUUGGGAUCAUUGUCAUUUAAACAUCGGUAGUUUUGUGCAUUUUUGCCAUUCCUCCUAUGUUACAGCCCUAAGAUGUUGAAACGACUGGGAGUCUGUGUAGUGCAGUUACAUAAAUACUGAGACACAGCACUUAUGUCUUGUGUAAGUUCUUAUGCUGUGUAAAUUCUUACAGUACAACCACUAUUCUUCAGUAGGGCAGGUGAAUUGGGCUGCCAUUUACAUAAAUACAGCUAGAUUAUUACAGCACCUGUAGCUUAAAUCUGGUUUCAUCAGGAUGUCACUGUGAUCGCAGUGAGGAUGAGUGUCCCAACAGCAGGAGUAUGAAACCAACAUCUGCCGUAAGUUGGGUGUUUUCUCACAAGUGAGAUCAUGCUGUUCAGAAGAGGAAUUUCAGUUUGCUUUGGUAUGGCUUUUCUUUCAUUUUAAAAUACAUCUUGAUUUUUGUCAGCUUUUAUGUCGAGGAAUAAAGACAAGGUCAAAGAAAUAAGUCUCUAUCCAUCACAGUAAUAAGUCUUGCCAGUGUUUACUCAAAGUAUCACCAAGUUCUGUUUUGCUUUGAAUCAGAUAUUGACAUAAAGUUGAUAUACUGACAGCUGGGGCACUGGUGUUGCUUUACAUUGCUUAAGCUGCAUCUCUGAGUUGUUUGGGUUUCUGCUGUGUGAUGGGUAUUUUUCUGAACCAUUUCUGAUCACUCGUGUUUGUCCUUGAAGCAUCAAGUCAUGAGAUGUCUCUUAGAUUCUUUCUGGCUGUAGGACAUAAGUUUAUUGUUCUCUUGACCUUUCUGAAAGAGUUUGGCAGAAUCUCCUGUUCUGUGGAAUAAAGAGACUUUACUUUCAGGCUGCAGGUUUUCAAAGCUCCAGGCUAAAUUUUAUUUGUCUUUUCUUCCAGGUAAAUCCAGUGUAAAAGGUCAAGAUAGAGUUUUGCUGGUUUAGUAAUGUAGUGGCUCGAGACUGGAAUAUAAUUCCUGUUUUAUGUAGUCUGUGAAUUCAAUUCAUCUUCAUGCUACUCCAUUAAGUGUGAAUUCCAUUAAAUAACACAGGAGAGAACUUGUCCCACUUCUUUGGCUUAAGGAGUUGCUACUACAUUAAGAGUGCAGAGAGGAAAUAGAGUCCUUAUUUGAGAUUUACAGCAGUAGCAAUUUAAAGCAAAAUUUAGUUUAAAAAAAACUAACCUUGCUGCUUUUCAUCAGGGCACCUGCAGCUAGUGCUGUUAUUUGACAUUCUCAGACUGUAAAGUUCAGUAAUGCUGAUGGAUUUUGCAGUUGUGCUCUUUGCGUUACUCUUCCAGCUGGAUUGUCCAAGAAGCUCCAAGUAUCCGUAGGUGCUGUUCAGAUUUAGCCUUCUUUUAACUUGCCAUAGCACAUUGUUGUCAGUGUGGGAUUGCAGGCUAGUUGUUCUGAGACAUACUCUCUUGCCUUCUUAAGAGAUAUGCCUACCAAGGGCUUGCACACCUGGAUCUCUGUAUAGUUAAGCUCCUAUUCUAUAGCCAGCCAUGAAAUCUGGAAGCGUAGUCCUGUCAAAAGAGAAGUGUCCAAAUCAUAGCUCUUAAUUAGAGUUCCCAUAACUUUGGGAAGCGUGAAUUGUCUUGCAAACUCAAGUAUGUGACCAUGAAAAUACUCAUGGAACGUCUUACAAUAUUGCAAAAAUAGAAAAAUGAGGGGGAAAAGCAGGCUUAUUCAGUGGCCCAGACUCAGUUUACAGGUAAUGUUGUUGUCUCCAAUAGUUCUGAAGCUGGAACUCAGAGGAGUUCUGGAAACACAAUGUGGUUGUAACUGGCUUCUCUUACCGUGCUCAGAUGAGACAGAUGUGGUACAGGUUUUCAUGCAGAAAAGCUACAUAAAAUGUAAAGCAAAGGGAAUUGCUAGGAGGCUUAUAUAAGAAGUUUCAGCCAAGCAAGUGUAAAAGCCAGAGUGUAAAUGAAAUAAUGAACUCUCAUAAAAACGGAUAUUGACUGCACAACGAGGCUCUCUUUCUGUCUGGUGCAGUAAAUCGAUUAGAGCAUGAAGUAUGAAGAGAAAAUGACCACAAUGAGUCACUAGUUUAAACGUAUACACAAUCUCCUUUAAAGAGAGGUUUCCCUGACUCGUUUGUUUAGACUAUUAUCCUGAAUUUCUAGAUAACCAGAGAAACUGAAGAGAAAAUAGUCUUUGUAACAUAAUUUUUAUAUAAAUGUAAUGUUUGCUGCUACAUAAAUCCUUAGAGGAUAAUAGUGCAGGUGGUGAGAGCUCCAUGGAUGCUUUGCUCAGAAUUCCCACUGGCAUGGAGGAAUGCAGCUUUUCUUUCUCCGUACUAAGAGUGAUGAUUAUUUUCAUGGCGGUGCCUUCAGCUUUUUAAUGGUCAGGAAGGUAAGGCUGUUGGAAGCACAGCAAGACUGAGAGCUGAGCAAUUUUCUUAUAGCCAGGCAAAUAGUAGAAAUAAUCUGAUUUAAAGUCAGUUUUGAAUUGUCUCCUUAUGCCGCUUUCAGGAAGAAGCAGCUUCAGAAGUGGCUGAAGUGAAACCCCUUUCUAGCUUGCUUGUGAAUAACGUUGCCCACGGUAUUGCUAUGAGGGCUUCAAUUGAAGCGCAGUAUCAAUUCAGACAACAGCACCUCUUAUCACAGCAGAGCACUGUUAUCACCUCUUUUCACAUUAAAGUGGCUUCCAGAACCUGACAGAUAGGACGAUGAGUGCUGACUGCAGCCCGUUGCCCUACAGGGUAUGCUAGUGGUGGUGAAGAAAGUGAGGCUGGGAGCUGGGCUCCUGCUUUGCAGUUUCUGUAGCAGUUGUGAAACAUCCAUUGUGACAAAGUGUGGCUUGGGUGGGAGUGAAUUAAAAUGUAUGAAUCAAGUCAUCGCCCUCUGACUGAAUCACAGGCAGCUUUCAUUAAAGGAACAAAUGCAGAGAAUCUUCCCCAGGGUGAGUAGUGCCAUGACAGCAGUUGUGGGCAUCACUAAAACAACUGCAGGCAUCUCCACUAUGUGGGAAUGCAAUGCCUGGCAAGCACUGAGACAAGUAUUUGGGCCACAUCCUGCAACUGUUAUCUGCUCUUGUUCAUUAGAAGCUUCAUGGAGCAGGUGUGAUUACAUUAGUAUAACCAUGAUUCAGUUGCAGACAGCCUACUGCAUGUGCAGGCGCCGUGUUCCUCCUUGAUUUCAUUCAUCUCAGCUGGAAAUGUGUCUGAGAAAAGCAGAAUGCACUGGGGAAGAAAGAAAAGCACAAAUGUGAUGCCACGUUCAGAGCAGGCAGUUGAGCUGGGACACGCACUUACUGCUCCUUGACCCAGAUACAGAAGUGCUUGUACUGCACGAGUGUUACACGGAGAGCACAGAGCGCUUCUAGCAGCAGAUGGUUAUUUGGAGCAGAAGGGUCCACAUAACAUUUGGGUUUUUCCUGACAAACGACAAGAAUCAGCUCCCACCCAGUGACCUGUUACAAGUCUGCCGGCAAAAUCAGAAGCUAAUUUCAGAUCUAGUAAUGGGCUCACAACUGGAUCUCUGAGGAACUCAGCAGUGCUCCCAUGUGCCAUUCCCAGAGGUGUGCAGAAUCCCCCCAGUGACACAGCCCUAAUUUCCGAGCAUCGUUGCAAAGCAAACUCAAUUUCAUACAGGUUAUGACCUCUUGUUUGAGCGCUCAGAGAUUUGUGACCUACUUCAUGACUGAGUUUUUUGUUUGCUUUUAGCUCUUUGGAUGGAGAAACUAAGAAAAUCUCCAAGACAGAUCCUGAUGUUUUUACUUCAUCGCCUGAGAAGGGCUGUGCAGAAGUACAGGUCUGGCUCUCCUGCACCAGAAGAAUUGAGUGCCACCACUGAUCCACAUUGGCAAGCUGUUACAGAAGCAUCUGUGUCAGCCUUGUGACACCAACCAGUAUGUAGCACAGGAUUCAAGGGUUACUGUGUUUGUCCUCACUAAAUCUUCUAAGCAAGAUGGUGAAGUGUUCAGAUAUGUUUACUCCUUCAUCCCUUCAUAGGAUGCCAGCCAGGAGAGGUAAGGUGGGGAUCCUUAUUUUCCUGUCUUGGUGUAGGGAGUGCCUUUGAUCAGGGAGGCUCUUGGGAUCAUCUCUUACAGUACCUUUCAGCCUGUCCCUAAUUACUCAGUGUUUUCCUGCUGGUGGUUCCACCCUGUGGCUCCAGCACAAUCAGGACACUCCUGUUUUCUGAGAACUGAGGAAAGGGCAGCAAUAAAAAACUAUCUCCUAUGGUCAAGUAAGUGGCACUGGCUGGGGCAGGAAGAUACAGACCAGGUUUUUACUUGGUUAUGUGGAGAGAAAUUUCUUCUUGUGCACUUUUAUCUAUCCCAAAGGUGACUUGAGAGUUUGGCAACACUCUUGCCAAAGCCAAAAUUGUUCCCAAAUUGUGAAAUACAAAAUAUAUUUGCAUUUUAAUUUGCAUUCUGUUUUUUUCUUUUUUUUUAUUUUCGUAUUUCCAAGUUCCCUUGACUCUUACGACUAGAAACAUCAAAAUUAUUCUUAUCAUCAGUACUACUGCUGCUCAUAACAAUAAUACAUAAAAGCGAAGAUUCUUAGGUAAUAAGCAAAUUUCAUGAGCUAUGGGCAGCAUGAGAGAGAUGCUGUAAGAGUGGAGAGUUCAGAUCAGAUAAAAGCCACAUUAAAACUGGAACUAAUUGGUAGCCUUGUUGUUGGUGUUGCUGGAGAGAUGAAGCGAUGAGCCACCCUGUCCUCAGUGUGUGGUCCCUUUGUGGCUGAGCGAGAUAGGCGCAGGUAGAACAGUAGUGUGAGUGCACUACAGUGCUACCUUCACAUUUUUUAAGUCAGGCUGUGAUCAGUGGGGCUGACACUACACUCUUGACUUCCCUGUGCCUGUUUCCCUGCUAACCUAGAAGCUGACAUGUGCCUGUGCUGAGGGUCUUUUCAGGGUGUUAUCCAUGUAGCAGCCAGUGACUCUCUGGUCCUCUCCUCUGCUGGCUGUUUCUGAGGCAGGACAUCAUCUGAUAUGCUCCAUCUCAACUACUUUAAGGCUACGUGUAUUUUUUAAAUAAGAAGGAAUGCAUGCAACCAUUUUGCUGUCUUGAUUUGCAAACAAGUUUUUUCCCCUGAUUUGAAAAUGCAGAGAGCUGAAUUGUGUGUAAUUGAUGGCAUUUUGUUUUACAGUUAGUCUGACAAACUCCCAUCCAAUCAGCCCAAACCUUCUAGCAAUUUUUGCUAUUUUAUAACACGAACUCUGGGACUACUUCAGUAAGCCAGAAAGUGAGCAUUCUGUGAAUCAGGAAUUCAGAACGAGCUGUACCAUUCCUGGAAGAAUUUAACCGGUCAAAAUCUCUCUUGACAAUUUUAAUUACUUUGCAGUAGGGCCAGAGUGUGGGUGUACCAGGAAGCAGUUUGCAUACAUUUUGUUUAGCUGAAUUGCUGCUGUGCCCUCUUUUGUGUCUUUCUUAGGAAAGGUCAAAUUUGGCAGUUUUCUGUAUCACAAGGAGAUCAUUAAUGCAAGGUGAAAGCAAACCACAACACUCAAUAAACACUUUUAUUUUUCUCUUUGGAGAUAUUAACUUGUAAAAAACACUUAUUUUUGAAAUACAUCACGUUACACAAAGCAAAGAACAAUGCUUUUAGGGACAGGCUUGCAUGUCUGACUAUGGAUUACACUGAGGAAAAGCCUUUCACUGGUGCCUGCUGUUGGCAGACAAUGUAGACCUCAGAACCUCAACAGAGGAUGUGCCGGGCAAUGAGAGGUGACAUAUGGUCCCUCUGUGUUUCAGAUGAGUGAGUUCUGUGCAAACUUUUGUAAAGACGCUUGUGAAAGGCCAAAGAAACCAAACACUACAGUAUUUUUUGUAAUCCCUUGCAAUAAAAGGUGAAGAGAUGACAGGCAGCCAUUUUCUCUGCCCGUCUUCUAUAUGUAUUUCUGUUUCUCAAAAGGUUCCCCGAUGCAACUUGCAACUGAGCUGAAAUAUGAAAACUGUCCAUUGGGAAGCCUGAACUCACUGUGGCACUUUCCUUUCAGAGCAAAGAAACAAAACCAACGAAAGCAGUUUCUUUACAAAGGUGGAAUGUGUAUUCCUUAUCUACACGGGCUGCAUCGGCUUACAGAAUAUGGUGCAGCCUUUGCUCAGUAAGGGCGAUCUUAGCAACAGAAAAGUAAAUAGCAUUGAGUGCAGAACACAGCGACCUGGGCAAAGGCACUGCCUUCUUUAAAGUCACUGCUCUGUAACUUCUGGCUCUGAAAGAAAACCGUCUCAAAUUCCUGAAAGGUUCUUAGAGUUCAGCCAGAUACAAGGCUGGGGCUUCUCAAUAGAGGCACUUACAGAAGGGGGAAAAAAAGUAAAAAUCAAAGCCUGGAAUCGCCAUGCUUGAGCUGCUCAUUUCAGAAUACUCUUUUUUACUUUGUUUGUAACUACAAAAAGAAAUCAAUAGCAGAAUGGAGCUAAUUCCUUACAGAUUGAGCCCGUCAGUACUUUUCUGCUUUCUCACUCCUCUCCAAUAUUCCAGACUCCAGGACUACCUGGAAAAUAGAUGACAAAUUCUCAUUUAUCCUAUUUUCAUUGAAAUCCUAUCUGAUGCAGGGAAGAUGAACUGGGAACAAUUACUCAUUUCUUAUGAGAAUUCAUGGUGAGAAGUUGCAAAGCCAAGAGGCUUCAGUGGCAAUUGGUAGCUAGGUUGCUUAAUGAGGGACCUAGAAAAGGCAAAAACUAUUUUAAAGCACAACAUAGCUCAAACCAAAGUUAUAGGCUUGCUGCUGAAAUUACUGGGUGAGGUUCUUUGGACUAAGUCAAACUAAAUGGGCUACAUGUAACUAAAUGGGCAUUUUUGGCUUAAAAUCUAUGAAAGUGGUUUGCCUAAAAUAAGAUUGUGGAUCUCAUCUCAAAACUUUGAUCCAAUGAUUUUUAAGGUUCUAAAAGUGUUUAUUCGAUGUUUCAUUCACUGUAGUGUUUUACUGGGGCUUCUUGUGUCCAAUAUCCACAUUUUAGGGCACAACAGGAAGCAAAAGGCAUGAGGCAGAAGUCCUGCUCAGGCCAUAGUGUGAGGCCAUUGCCUGCUGGUUGUUGACGUUCCUUGGCGGUUCUACUGUUCUUUUACUGUUUCUAUUUGGAAAAGAUUUAAUGCUUUAAAAUAUCUUUUGGCCUCUUUUAUGAUGGCUUUAUAUUUAACUUGCCAGAGUGUAUGCUGUUCCUGUUUUGGAUAGAAGCAGAAAAUAUCAGUAUUCCACCAGUGGAUGCACAGAUGACAUUCACAAAAGGCUCAGUGAUGGAGUCAUGCUGCAGUCUGCUUGCUUUCUUUCAUUCAUGAUUCUGGGAUGUGGUCACUCACUGUUUGACACAUAACAAGUCGUAAUUCUGCAAAGUAAGUUCUCCUGAACGUGCUGAAGUCCACGUUGCAAGCACUCAGAACUCUUGCAGUGCAGGCCUGACCUGAGCACGCAGCGGGACUGUUCCACUGACUUUGAACGGAGCCCUCGGUCAGCGAUGCUUGUCGGGGCUAAUCAGGUAAUGUGAGGAAACAGCUGCAAAGUGCCCAGCCUUCAGGAUCUGUGUGUCUCACCCAUUCUGUGUCCCAUUAGCAAGACAUGUCUGUUAGUAACAGCUUGAAGUUACAUUUGCUAAAUGAACACUGUGCAGUUCUGCAGUUAUAUUGAGUGCUUUGGGUUGUUUCUCUGUUACACUGUAUAAAAUAUCGCUAUUUUCAAACUGAACACUGCAGUGCAUUUGUCAUGAUCCAGGUAUGAGUAAGGAAUUAUACAGAAAUGUGAGAGCUGCACUUUGAAGCUUACGUGCAAAUGGAUUAAAUCAUAUCUAUGCAUAGCUAAGGAACUUGUGAAUAAAUGCAUGAUCUGAAGGAGAAUUUUCAAGAAACCAAGGCAACUCUGCAGCUAAGGAUCUCUAAUGCACAGGAUAGCGUAUUUUGUCUGCUGCUGCUGCUGGCAGUAUUUCAGAGCUGCAGAAUUUGGAUAUUGGAUGUGUCUGGAUUCAAACACAAUGGGUUUGUCAGUACAACUCGAGCCAUGGGGCAGUCCUGUGCCUCAGUGCUGGAGAAUGGGGGCAGCUGGGAGCUGGGAUUAUUAGCCUAGUAAAACGAAGGGGUACGGCUGCUUUCUAGAAAUAAAUUGGGAGUAAACACCCAGAGAGGAGGGCUAUGGAAGCAAAGGAAGAGAACUGGCACAAGAACAAAUGGGUAUGAAAUGAGCGGGAAUAAAUUUAGGCUGGAAACAUAGAGGUUUCCAAACUUCAAAAGGACGCGAUUUUAGAAAGCUUCCUAAUUAGAAGAGUGCAUGCAAACUCCCAUAGCAUUAUUAUGCAUUUACUAUUUAGGAAUUUAAUUGUGAAAUCCAAGAACUCGUUCCCUACGUGCCCAUUACUUGGUCAAGUUGUGAAAGGCUGUGCUUUAAUAAACGGAGAUUAAAGAGAUUUCUAACCAA